UACAGAGGGGGCAAGCGUUGUUCGGAAUUACUGGGCGUAAAGGGCGCGUAGGCGGCCUUCUAAGUCGAACGUGAAAUCCCCGGGCUCAACCCGGGAACUGCGUCCGAUACUGGAAGGCUUGAAUCCGGGAGAGGGAUGCGGAAUUCCAGGUGUAGCGGUGAAAUGCGUAGAUAUCUGGAGGAACACCAAUUGCGAAGUCAGCUCGCUGGGACGUGACUGACGCUGAGACGCUAAAGCGUGGGGAUCAAACAGG
This 253-nucleotide ribosomal RNA is filed under the name uncultured bacterium. RNAcentral describes it as "partial 16S ribosomal RNA". It matches the Rfam family "Bacterial small subunit ribosomal RNA", at positions 524 to 776 of the family's 1533-position model. The record is from RNAcentral.